AUGUUGCACGGAUCGACUGGUCGAACCAUCGAAUCAAUGGAGAUUGGAGCAAGCUCGUGUGGUCGGUUGAGGAACAGAGUCUGCUUCCUCUGCGAACCCCGCGCCGCCCUUCCGUCCAGCUCGCCGCUUUCCACCAAGCUGCACCGCCCCCGUCGACCUCGUAUCUGCGCCGCACCCCCUCUGGGGCCUCCUCUUCGACGCACCGUGUCCUCAUUCUCCGGGACGCGCCGCCCCCCUCGCCUCCGCCCGGACCGCGCGGCGCCGCCUCCCCGUCUCCGCCCGCCACUGCCUGAGCAGCUCCGCGCGGCGGCAAGACCUCGCCCAAGCCGGCCGCACCAACCCUCGAGGCAGCUUACAGGGGCACCUCAUAUCAUCCCUAAUUUCACUAACAUAUUUACUGCACUUAGUAAAAAGCAGGGCUACAUUAAUCAGUACUGUUCCAAUACUGGCUGCAUUAUGCCAUAA
Molecule: ribosomal RNA, 465 nt
Filed under: Triticum aestivum (bread wheat)
Lineage: Eukaryota; Viridiplantae; Streptophyta; Magnoliopsida; Poales; Poaceae
Description: partial small subunit ribosomal RNA
Source: RNAcentral